AUUCGGACGUCGGGUACCAUUACUAGAUGGUCACUUCGAUUAGUACAAGAAUUGAUUCCUGUGCUACCGGCUUAGGUUCGAACCUGUGGGGUCACAUACAUUAGAGGUUCCUAUCUGAUCUGAUGGCUGGUGUAGAAUCCUACAUGUUUGGGACUCAGUGAUCGAGAAUCAAGAUUCUCUGAUCACGAGUUUCACACAUUAUGGGUACCAGGGUCAAGAGUCCCAUUGGUUGGGACUUUUUGAUCAAGGUUACAUAUCGAUGAAUUCUGAUGCCCGAUUGCCCAUCAGAUUUGGACUCAGUAUUUAUGAGAGGUUUAAUUAGUAAUUUAAUCACUAAUUAACUCAAUUUGAUUGAGUAAUUAUUUUUGGAUCAAGUCCAAUUGAAUUGGAUUCAGUUGGGUUUGACCUGAUUAGGUUAAGAGUUGACCUAAUCGUCGAGAUGGUUUGGUCCCUGAU
Molecule: long non-coding RNA, 456 nt
Filed under: Elaeis guineensis (African oil palm)
Lineage: Eukaryota; Viridiplantae; Streptophyta; Magnoliopsida; Arecales; Arecaceae
Description: long non-coding RNA (EGUI_LNC043275)
Source: RNAcentral